GGAGUAAAGUUUGCUGUGAGCAAAGCACAAGAUGAAGUUCUGAUGUCACAAUGGGAUUUUUCAGGUUUUCUUCCUGCCACAGUUGCGGUGCCAGCCUCCCCUUGGGUGAAGAUAGGAGAACCUAUGUCCACACUAGAAUGAUGCCUGACCUGAAGAGAUGAAACGCACAUGUGUAGACAGCAGAAAUAAACAGCAACGAAGAACCAUCUACUUCUGGAGCAGAUUGUGUGAUGCCUUUACCCUUACUGAAUUGGCUGUGAUGAAUCCUGAGUUAUAACAUAAACAUAGCAGCAAAAGCAUGGAGGAGAUUCAGGUGUGAAAUACAAUUGCAGGAACUCAGUUUGCUCCCAAAAGUUUCCUUGAGAGAAGAGCUCACUGUAGUUUAUUUCCUACCUCAGUGGUUUGCAAUCUAGUGAGGGACUCAUCCUGCCAAACCACGAGGCGUAAACAUUUUCUUUCUUGUUAAAUCUCUCCAGAGAGCACCACACCAUCCACACCAUCUUAGCAUCUGCCUGAUAUAUAUACACACUAAUUCUUGAAAAGGUCACUUCUGCUCAAAUGUUAAUUAGAUGUUGUUGUUGUUAAAGAAUAAACAGGCUAAAAAAUUCA
Molecule: long non-coding RNA, 609 nt
Organism: Phasianus colchicus (ring-necked pheasant)
Lineage: Eukaryota; Metazoa; Chordata; Aves; Galliformes; Phasianidae
Source: RefSeq, a predicted model, not a curated record